GUUUCACUUCUGUUUCAAAACCCCACGACAGCCGCUUUUCCUUAAGUGAAUUUUUCCUUUGGAAUGAAAUCUUUUAUCUUUGCCUUGACUUGUAUAUCAGUAAAUGUUUAGCAGUAUGUUAACUGUUAUCUUCUGUGUACUAAAGCACAAGAUUGUUUAGUAUAAUUAAAUCAUGGGAUGUCUCCUCUGCCCAUCUUAGCGCUGAUAUUCUUUUCAUCUAGGUGAUAAAAGCCAGACAUACAUUAAUCCACAUCAAAUUGUCUCAUGAUAACUUGAAAAAUUACGAGAGAAUGUUAUCUAAUCGUGAAAAUAAGUUAAAUUCCUCCCUUUCCUAUAAAUAAGAGGGGCUUUUUGUUUUUUUUGUUUUUCCUAUUUACAAAGCAGGCAGAAGAUCAGUGAGUAGGGUCAUUUUUCUCUUCCAUUAUGGAACACAUAUGAUAUAUUUAUUGUUUCUAAGAGUUGUUCCUUAGGGCUGAUUUGUCAAAAGGACAGCCUGACCUAUGUCUUCCCUACACAGCCAGCUGAACGUCAAACAAAUGUCUCCUUCAUUCCAAAGACACCACUCUAUUCUAUUUAGGUAGAAGAUGAUGCUGGCUUCAGUUUGCAGCAGGAAAUUGCUUGACUGGAGUACCUUCUGAUGGCAAGCGCAUUUCACAGACAUUUGUAGAGAAGACUCUCCUCUUUGUUUAGUGAUCUGCCUCUUAAAUAAUGCUCUUACUCUGUUGAGGAAGAGAAUGAAUCGCCGUGUGUGUGCUGACUAUCAAACACACAAAUGGAAUAGUAGCGGGGCUUCUGUAACCAAGAGAAGUUUACGAAACAUUUGAUUGUUGAGGGAGUCACAGCAUUUCAGAGAUUGACCUUGAAGUUUUAGAAGAACAAAAAAAGUGAAUUGAUCCACUGGAACAAGUACAAAGCCAGCUUUGGUGCUAAAUGUAAAUUGUUAAAAAUGGUUCGGAAUAACAUCUGCC
This 968-nucleotide long non-coding RNA is filed under the name Felis catus (domestic cat). Its description in RNAcentral is "lncRNA (ENSFCAG00000051971.1)". Lineage: Eukaryota; Metazoa; Chordata; Mammalia; Carnivora; Felidae. The record is from RNAcentral.